Molecule: ribosomal RNA, 208 nt
Filed under: Staphylococcus aureus
Lineage: Bacteria; Bacillati; Bacillota; Bacilli; Caryophanales; Staphylococcaceae
Description: partial 16S ribosomal RNA
Rfam family: Bacterial small subunit ribosomal RNA
Source: RNAcentral
UUUAUGGAGAGUUUGAUCCUGGCUCAGGAUGAACGCUGGCGGCGUGCCUAAUACAUGCAAGUCGAGCGAACGGACGAGAAGCUUGCUUCUCUGAUGUUAGCGGCGGACGGGUGAGUAACACGUGGAUAAACUACCUAUAAGACUGGGAUAACUUCGGGAAACCGGAGCUAAUACCGGAUAAUAUUUUGAACCGCAUGGUUCAAAAGUG